CUUUACUUUGUGUGCCUCUAGUAGGGCCUGAUCAUAUAGUGACGAGGUAGGUUGGGCCUUUGCGGGGACACAUUAUGUUGGGGGGUUGUAAUUGAGUGACUCGGUGCUCCAGCGUGUGGCAUUUAUGCGACUUCACCCCUGGCGAGUGAAGUAAUGAAAUACCCGCGAAAGGUCACUCCUGCACGUUCUGAACCUUCCCUUAGGUAAAGCCGCAAACAACAGGCGCAAAAUAUGUGUAGGUCCUACGCUUAAAAUGGAAUACCAGCUACGGACGCGGCAUAUUUGUUGUCCGAGGGGUUGUGUCCGUUAGUGUCCGUUCGUUGAGGCCCGCACUGAACUCGCGUACUUAAUUCUGUCAGCGCAUAAAGUUUGUCUUCGGCGUAAAAGUACGAAAAGUACGAAAAAUCCGUUACGAUCAGGCCCUACUAGGCAGAAUGCAGUCUUGCCUCCAGCUCUUGCCUUCCUGCCCUCUUAGGCUCAUCUAGGAAGCGGGACCCUCUCUAACGAAGCCUCACAACGAACCCAACACGCCGCUUGGAAACGGCCGGGUGCUGCCGCGCAUUGGAUCCCUGGAAACCACCACCUAGAUCCCCAUCGAUGGCCAUCAUAGGAGGCCGUCUCCCCUGGUGACCAUCGGCCAGCUUGAGACGGCUUGAGAGCGUAGCCAGGCUGUUACAAAACCACUGCUUGACGAAGCCUGAGCAUUCAUUAUGCCAUGUGUGCGCGCGUUUCGAUGAGACAGUGUAAGAUCAUGCCUUUAAGCCCUGUUUUCGCACGAACGCCUACCCUGCACGUACCUUCAGCCUGCGCCAUGCUAACAGUUUCCUCCGCUGCUCACCGGAAUCGCCAGCAUCAGCGAUUAUCUUAUGGCUGUGUGUGAGAUCAACGGCGAUGUCUUAAGGCAAACUGUUUAAUGCGCAUGAUAAACAAGCUCGUAGAAAGUUGCAAGACGCAAACGAGCCAGGGAACAGACGCAGGUCCGCAGUACACAUGAAUCCAUUUUAAAAUAAGCUUGGCACGGGCCGCAGACGCACGCUAUGCACACUGGCAACGAGACUUCCAUCUUGAGACCUUUUGGACCUGCCGGCGUCAGGUGUAAGCCAAUACCCAAGCCGAGCGUGCCCACACGAAGUUACUCCAAGUAUUCCAUAACCAAAAGUACACGUCCUCAUGUCUUGCAUAAAGAGCUUCGCAAGCUUUAUGCUAUACUUCGCCUUGAAAACGGCAAAAUUCCAUGUCGGUGAAUCGUUGUGCCCGGAUUACUACACCUGCAAUCCGUACCGCAUGCUGCUAUUCGUGCUGUGAAUUGAGCUUGACAGAGACAGAGGACAUGACAAGGUUCAAGGCAGAUAAUGCGAUCAGCAAUAAGUAUAUGCAAUGCUUACAAAGAUUUCUCCGUAACAGCCUUUAAUAGUGCGGGUCAUAGACCGCGUCUAGUAGUUGUCGAAAUGAUACUAUUGAUAAUCCUUGUCUUGGCAUUUUUUGCAAAUGCUUCUUCAUAUGAGGGACCAGCGCUUAACAAACCCCAACGGCAACGCGGAAGCCUAAUGGUCCCGCUGCACCAGCGAAGCUUUUCAAGCUGGCGGCGGCAUCUCUUGCGAAGUGGUCCUCUACCUGUUCAGGGUUCCGUGCGAGAAGUAGG
Molecule: long non-coding RNA, 1642 nt
Filed under: Volvox carteri
Lineage: Eukaryota; Viridiplantae; Chlorophyta; Chlorophyceae; Chlamydomonadales; Volvocaceae
Description: long non-coding RNA (VCAR_LNC003302)
Source: RNAcentral